RNAcentral lists this ribosomal RNA (492 nucleotides) under uncultured bacterium. RNAcentral's name for it is "partial 16S ribosomal RNA". It matches the Rfam family "Bacterial small subunit ribosomal RNA", at positions 29 to 507 of the family's 1533-position model. The record is from RNAcentral.
AGUGAACGCUGGCGGUAGGCCUAACACAUGCAAGUCGAACGGCAGCACAGUAAGAGCUUGCUCUUACGGGUGGCGAGUGGCGGACGGGUGAGGAAUACAUCGGAAUCUACUUUUUCGUGGGGGAUAACGUAGGGAAACUUACGCUAAUACCGCAUACGACCUACGGGUGAAAGCAGGGGAUCUUCGGACCUUGAGCGAUUGAAUGAGCCGAUGUCGGAUUAGCUAGUUGGCGGGGUAAAGGCCCACCAAGGCGACGAUCCGUAGCUGGUCUGAGAGGAUGAUCAGCCACACUGGAACUGAGACACGGUCCAGACUCCUACGGGAGGCAGCAGUGGGGAAUAUUGGACAAUGGGCGCAAGCCUGAUCCAGCCAUACCGCGAGGGUGAAGAAGGCCUUCGGGUUGUAAAGCCCUUUUGUUGGGAAAGAAAAGCAGCAGGUUAAUACCCCGCUGUUCUGACGGUACCCAAAGAAUAAGCACCGGCUAACUUCGUG